GGGGCUGUGGCUCAGAGGUAGAGUGCUCGCCUACCAUGCGUGAGGCACUGGAUUCGAUCCCCUGCACCA
Molecule: transfer RNA, 69 nt
Filed under: Ictidomys tridecemlineatus (thirteen-lined ground squirrel)
Lineage: Eukaryota; Metazoa; Chordata; Mammalia; Rodentia; Sciuridae
Description: Spermophilus tridecemlineatus (thirteen-lined ground squirrel) tRNA
Rfam family: tRNA
About the family: Transfer RNA (tRNA) molecules are approximately 80 nucleotides in length. Their secondary structure includes four short double-helical elements and three loops (D, anti-codon, and T loops).
Source: Rfam by way of RNAcentral